GAUGAACGCUGGCGGCGUGCCUAAUACAUGCAAGUCGAGCGAACGGACGAGAAGCUUGCUUCUCUGAUGUUAGCGGCGGACGGGUGAGUAACACGUGGAUAACCUACCUAUAAGACUGGGAUAACUUCGGGAAACCGGAGCUAAUACCGGAUAAUAUUUUGAACCGCACGGUUCAAAAGUGAAAGACGGUCUUGCUGUCACUUAUAGAUGGAUCCGCGCUGGAUUAGCUUGUUGGUAAGGUAACGGCUUACCAAGGCAACGAUGCAUAGCCGACCUGAGAGGGUGAUCGGCCACACUGGAACUGAGACACGGUCCAGACUCCUACGGGAGGCAGCAGUAGGGAAUCUUCCGCAAUGGGCGAAAGCCUGACGGAGCAACGCCGCGUGAGUGAUGAAGGUCUUCGGAUCGUAAAACUCUGUUAUUAGGGAAGAACAUAUGUGUAAGUAACUGUGCACAUCUUGACGGUACCUAAUCAGAAAGCCACGGCUAACUACGUG
RNAcentral lists this ribosomal RNA (497 nucleotides) under uncultured bacterium. RNAcentral's name for it is "partial 16S ribosomal RNA". It matches the Rfam family "Bacterial small subunit ribosomal RNA", at positions 28 to 507 of the family's 1533-position model. The record is from RNAcentral.